GGAUGAAUUCCCACAGGAAGCAGGGAGGCUGCCCUUCAGCCAUGAGAGAGCCUGACAAAAUAAGAGUGUGGGCUAGGAAGAGGGUGUUCCAGGGAGCAGACAAGCUUAACUAAGCCCUGGAGACAGAAGGGUGCCCUACAGGGCUGGCGGGGGCGGGAGGGGGGAGCUACUGGUGUAAGGCGCCAGGCCUAGCAGGGGAGGGGACAGCUCCAGCGGACCUGACUUAACUGGGGCGAUGAAUGCAGCGGAGCCUAACGGCCCCUUCUAGGGAGACGAUAAUUAUUCAGAUCAGCCUGGUGAUUUACUCGGCAAUCAGAGCCGCUCGAUGCGGUGGCCGCGGAGCCGAGACAGACGAACAUCGCCAAGGAGGAUGAGACCGGGGGCUCAGUCCCCUCCCUCCCCCUCGCCCGCCCGGCCUUUGUUCUCUUCGAGGUCUGCACCCGCGCUGCUGGCCCACAGUGGAUGCGCCCAGCCGCACGGACACAGCAGCGACCUCGGGGGCUGGAGAGCAAGUGUACACAGGCGUGUGCCUCGGGGAGGGACUAUGGGGGCACGUGCUGUGUUUGCAUGCUUGUAUGUAUAAGGGGAAGGCGAUGGAGUAUACCAGUAGAAGCACCGCUGUCAGGUGUGCAAUCGGGAUGUGUACACCUGUUUGCCUACCAGGGCCUGGGCACAGCUGUCACUGCUGGCUUGUUUAAAUGUGUGAUAGACAGGUU
This is a long non-coding RNA of Mus musculus (house mouse), 716 nucleotides long. RefSeq annotates it as predicted gene, 36416. The transcript is spliced from 2 exons. The record is from RefSeq and is a predicted model, not a curated record. NCBI's taxonomy places the organism in Eukaryota, Metazoa, Chordata, Mammalia, Rodentia, Muridae.